GACGAACGCUGGCGGCGUGCUUAACACAUGCAAGUCGAGCGAGGCCCCUCCUUCGGGGGGGUUUCCUAGCGGCUAACGGGUGAGUAACACGUGGGCAACCUGCCCUCAGCUCUGGGAUAACUCCGUGAAACCGGGGCUAAUACCGGAUACGACCUCCACGAGCAUCUGCGGCGGUUGAAAGUUUUUCGGCUGAGGAUGGGCCCGCGGCCGAUCAGCUAGUUGGUGGGUUAGUGGCCCGGCAAGGCGACGGCGGGUAGCCGGCCUGAGAGGGAGACCGGCCACACUGGGACUGAGAAGCGGCCAAGACUCCUACGGGAGGAAGCAGUGGGGAAUAUUGCGCAAUGGGCGGAAGCCGGACGCAGCGACGCCGCGUGAGGGACGAAGGCCUUCGGGUUGUAACCCUCUUUCAGCAGGGAAGAAGAGACAGUGACGGUACCUGAAGAAGAAGCACCGGCCAACUACGUG
Molecule: ribosomal RNA, 465 nt
Filed under: uncultured bacterium
Lineage: Bacteria
Description: partial 16S ribosomal RNA
Rfam family: Bacterial small subunit ribosomal RNA
Source: RNAcentral